GGGACGUAGCUCAGUUGGGAGAGCGCGUGAAUCGCACUCACGAGGUCGGGAGUUCGAAUCUCCUCGUCUCCACCA
This 75-nucleotide transfer RNA is filed under the name Bacillota bacterium. RNAcentral's name for it is "tRNA-Ala". It matches the Rfam family "tRNA". From Rfam's summary of the family: Transfer RNA (tRNA) molecules are approximately 80 nucleotides in length. Their secondary structure includes four short double-helical elements and three loops (D, anti-codon, and T loops). Further hydrogen bonds mediate the characteristic L-shaped molecular structure. tRNAs have two regions of fundamental functional importance: the anti-codon, which is responsible for specific mRNA codon recognition, and the 3' end, to which the tRNAs corresponding amino acid is attached (by aminoacyl-tRNA synthetases). tRNAs cope with the degeneracy of the genetic code in two manners: having more than one tRNA (with a specific anti-codon) for a particular amino acid; and 'wobble' base-pairing, i.e. permitting non-standard base-pairing at the 3rd anti-codon position. The record is from RNAcentral. Lineage: Bacteria; Bacillati; Bacillota.